ACUGAACGCUGGCGGAAUGCUUUACACAUGCAAGUCGAACGGCAGCACGGACUUCGGUCUGGUGGCGAGUGGCGAACGGGUGAGUAACGUAUCGGAACGUGCCCAGUCGUGGGGGAUAACGUAGUGAAAAUUACGCUAAUACCGCAUACGAUCUAUGGAUGAAAGCGGGGGAUCGCAAGACCUCGCGCGAUUGGAGCGGCCGAUAUCAGAUUAGGUAGUUGGUGGGGUAAAGGCCCACCAAGCCAACGAUCUGUAGCUGGUCUGAGAGGACGACCAGCCACACUGGAACUGAGACACGGUCCAGACUCCUACGGGAGGCAGCAGUGGGGAAUUUUGGACAAUGGGCGAAGGCCUGAUCCAGCCAUUCCGCGUGCAGGAUGAAGGCCCUCGGGUUGUAAACUGCUUUUGUACAGAACGAAAAGGUUUCUACUAAUACUAGGAGCUCAUGACGGUACUGUAAGAAUAAGCACCGGCUAACUACGUGCCAGCCGCCGCGGUAA
RNAcentral lists this ribosomal RNA (500 nucleotides) under uncultured bacterium. Its description in RNAcentral is "partial 16S ribosomal RNA". It matches the Rfam family "Bacterial small subunit ribosomal RNA", at positions 30 to 523 of the family's 1533-position model. The record is from RNAcentral.